AUUGAACGCUGGCGGCAUGCCUUACACAUGCAAGUCGAACGGCAGCACGGGUGCUUGCACCUGGUGGCGAGUGGCGAACGGGUGAGUAAUACAUCGGAACGUACCUUAUCGUGGGGGAUAACGCAGCGAAAGCUGUGCUAAUACCGCAUACGCCCUGAGGGGGAAAGCGGGGGAUCGAAAGACCUCGCGCGAUUAGAGCGCCCGAUGCCUGAUUAGCUUGUCGGUGGGGUAAAAGCCCACCAAGGCGACGAUCAGUAGCAGGUCUGAGAGGACGAUCAGGCACACUGGGACUGAGACACGGCCCAGACUCCAACGGGGGGCAGCAGUGGGGAAUUUUGGACAAUGGGGGCAACCCUGAUCCAGCAAUGCCGCGUGAGUGAAGAAGGCCUUCGGGUUGUAAAGCUCUUUUGUCAGGGAAGAAACACCGGCUCUAACACAGUCCGGGAAUGACGGUACCUGAAGAAUAAGCACCGGCUAACUACGUGCCAGCCGCCGCCGUAA
Molecule: ribosomal RNA, 501 nt
Filed under: uncultured bacterium
Lineage: Bacteria
Description: partial 16S ribosomal RNA
Rfam family: Bacterial small subunit ribosomal RNA
Source: RNAcentral